Molecule: long non-coding RNA, 214 nt
Filed under: Rattus norvegicus (Norway rat)
Lineage: Eukaryota; Metazoa; Chordata; Mammalia; Rodentia; Muridae
Description: long non-coding RNA NONRATT007355
Source: RNAcentral
CGCUCAUCUAUAAAGACUUCCGAGGGGAUAGUGGUGGUCGUGAUGUGGCCGAGCUCUUCUACCGGAAGCUGACGGGACUGCCGGGAGGCGAGUCCCCGGUUGUCAUGGUAACUACUGUGGCAGGCGAGCAGGGGCUUAGAACUGUGGAGGUGGGUGGGUGCCUCAUCUCUCCCUGUCAAGGGCGGCUUGGUAGGAAGAAGCUUUUUUUUUUUUU